AUGCACGCUGACAGAAUGCUUAACACAUGCAAGUCGAUGGGGAAGUGGUGCUUGCACCAUGGCAACCAUGGCGGACGGGUGAGUAACGCGUAAGGGACUUACCUGCAGGACUGGGAUAACAGGGGGAAACUCCUGACAAGACCUGAUAAUGUCAUGGAGCUGCAUGGCUUUAUGAUGAAAGGAGACGCCUGCGGAGAGCCUUGCGUCCUAUUAGCUAGUUGGUGAGGUAAUGGCUCACCAAGGCGAAGAUAGGUAGCCGGCCUGAGAGGGUGGACGGCCACAAGGGGACUGAGAUACGGCCCUUACUCCUACGGGAGGCAGCAGUGGGGAAUAUUGGACAAUGGGGGCAACCCUGAUCCAGCAAUUCUGUGUGCACGAAGAAGGUUUUCGGAUUGUAAAGUGCUUUCAGCAGGGAAGAAGUAAGUGACGGUACCUGCAGAAGAAGCGACGGCUAAAUACGUG
Molecule: ribosomal RNA, 462 nt
Filed under: uncultured bacterium
Lineage: Bacteria
Description: partial 16S ribosomal RNA
Rfam family: Bacterial small subunit ribosomal RNA
Source: RNAcentral